RNAcentral lists this non-coding RNA (76 nucleotides) under Ilyobacter polytropus. Its description in RNAcentral is "c-di-GMP sequence". It matches the Rfam family "c-di-GMP-I riboswitch aptamer". From Rfam's summary of the family: GEMM was predicted in a large-scale screen for bacterial structured RNA regulatory elements. Genes associated with GEMM are involved in a diverse array of functions, including chemotaxis regulation, signal transduction, secretion and chitin. The record is from RNAcentral. Lineage: Bacteria; Fusobacteriati; Fusobacteriota; Fusobacteriia; Fusobacteriales; Fusobacteriaceae. RNAcentral also lists the same sequence under 1 other name.
AAAAAAUAUCGGCAAACCAUUGGAAACAAUGGGACGCAAAACUAUAGGGCCUUUAAAAUGGCAGCCAGUUCCCGAG